UCGUCAUCAGUCACACGUGGUCUGUAC
Molecule: small RNA, 27 nt
Filed under: Bombyx mori (domestic silkworm)
Lineage: Eukaryota; Metazoa; Arthropoda; Insecta; Lepidoptera; Bombycidae
Description: ovarian small RNA-29219
Source: RNAcentral